UACGUAGGCAGCGAGCGUUGUUCGGAGUUACUGGGCGUAAAGGGCGCGUAGGCGGCCUUCUAAGUCAGACGUGAAAUCCCCCGGCUUAACCUGGGAACUGCGUCUGAUACUGGGAGGCUAGAGUGCGGGAGAGGGAUGCGGAAUUCCAGGUGUAGCGGUGAAAUGCGUAGAUAUCUGGAGGAACACCGGUGGCGAAGGCGGCAUCCUGGACCGACACUGACGCUGAGGCGCGAAAGCUAGGGUAGCAAACGGG
Molecule: ribosomal RNA, 253 nt
Filed under: uncultured bacterium
Lineage: Bacteria
Description: partial 16S ribosomal RNA
Rfam family: Bacterial small subunit ribosomal RNA
Source: RNAcentral